CGAGUGUUGAAAAUGGCACAACUAGACUUGUGCCUCUCAACAUCAUCGACUGUGCCAAAAGACUCGUUCAAUAUUUGUAACAUGUUCUGUGGCUGAGCAUUCUCAAAAUAAUGGCUGAACUCAUCAUUCAUUGCCACCAACAUAAUGCAAUGAAUCAUAGUUCGAUCGUUGAGCCACUUCUGAUAAGUAUCUUUGACCAUG
Molecule: long non-coding RNA, 201 nt
Filed under: Elaeis guineensis (African oil palm)
Lineage: Eukaryota; Viridiplantae; Streptophyta; Magnoliopsida; Arecales; Arecaceae
Description: long non-coding RNA (EGUI_LNC069603)
Source: RNAcentral